AAUGCUAUACAUUGGUGCAACAAAGGU
RNAcentral lists this small RNA (27 nucleotides) under Bombyx mori (domestic silkworm). RNAcentral's name for it is "ovarian small RNA-10837". The record is from RNAcentral. Lineage: Eukaryota; Metazoa; Arthropoda; Insecta; Lepidoptera; Bombycidae.